Molecule: long non-coding RNA, 288 nt
Organism: Esox lucius (northern pike)
Lineage: Eukaryota; Metazoa; Chordata; Actinopteri; Esociformes; Esocidae
Exons: 3
Source: RefSeq, a predicted model, not a curated record
GGGGGGGUCUUAAGGUGUUGUGUUGAGGGUUUGGUAGGUGGAGUCUUGAGGUGCUGUGUUGAGGGUUUGGUAGAUGGAGUCUUGAGGUGCUGUGUUGAGGGUAUGGUAGAUGGAGUCAUUAGGUGCUGUGUUGAGGGUAUGGUAGAUGGAGUCAUUAGGUGCUGUGUUGAGGGUUUGGUAGGUGGAGUCUUGAGGUGGAGUCUUGAGGUGUUGUGUUGAGGGUUUGGUAGGUGGAGUCUUGAGGUGUUGUGUUGAGGGUUUGGUAGGUGGAGUCUUGAGGUGUUGUGC